GCCGUGUUUACAGUAAACUUGAGCCACUGUUCGACAGCCCAUGGAUGUCAUUUUUGAUUGGUGCCUACAAAUACAAAAGAAAACACAACACCAUUUCAUGGAUUUCAAAAACAGAACUCACAAAACAUGCAAUUAAGAUUAGCACAGAAGAGAGAAGUGAGAUUUUUCUCUCAGUGCUCCAUGAAUUUUAAUCAAAGGUAACAGGUUGUCAUAUGAUGUAAUAUAAGACAAAUGUACACAUAAUCCUUUGCAUUUAUAAUUAUAUUUUCUUUUUUGUAGAAUGUGUGCAAUUGUAGAAUUUUCAGCGGAGGGAACAUAUGAAAUGGUGCCAGACAUCUGGUUGUUUAUGAAGGAUGAGGAGGAUUACAAUGGCGCUGAGACAGUUUCUAUCUGAUUGCAAUAGAGCAUUUCAGGAGUGCACCCGAUUGGCUCAAACAGACGACCAGGACUCUAUUGAAACAAUAGUUACAAGAUUGGAAACGAUGGCAUGAAGCCUUCAAUGGUCAAAAGGCAGACUUUGUGAAUCCCAACUAGCUGACGGACUCUUAAAUUUAAUUGGUGAGUUUGUGGCAGACGUUCGGCAGCAACAACAACCUGUUGGUAUUGUUGUUUUUCACUAUGAGAAACUAGUGGAUGGGUUGGACUCUGAUGGAUACAGAAAUAAAUGUACUUUCACAUUAGAGGUUUUAGUGUUCAAUGUACUCACACUGUAAUGGAAAACAUAAAUCAUGCAGUUGUAACAGUUGAAAAUAAGCAUACUUGGAUAAAGUGUAAAAAAGACAAUCAAAGUAAAGUGGAUAUCAAAGCACUAAUCAUUUUUAUAUCUAAUUAAAUGUUUUCUUUUGUAGCUUUCCUUGGAUAUAUAGUUCCACGCGUUAGGGGACAUACUGGGUGUCCAAAGUGCCACAUCACAUCUGAACAACUGCAGUUUUUACUGUCUUUACAGUUCACGAUACCUCAAAUUGCAGAAAUACUGGGCACUUCAAGUCGCACUGUGAAACGACGUCUCGGAUCAUUCAAUCUAUCUCUGCGUGGGCAUUUCACAAACAUCUCUGAUGCGGAGUUGGAUGUAACAGGUAGCCUGCGGCAAUGACUUACUGGGUCCAGAGGCUGUAUGAGCAAAACUUUUUUCAUAUCAGAUCUUUGUGCGUGGCUGUCUUCGCUUACAGGCUCAAAAUCUGACUGGGAUUCAGGGAGUGUUUGGUGCUGAUGAGCAGCCAAUUCAUCUGGAUGCAGAAGUGCCACACUCACCUCAGAUACCCACUUUUAACUGGCCAGACAGCAUUGAGGUCCCCUUGACUGAAUAUGCCCUGGACAAUGACCGCUUGGGUGAACUUCAGCAACUUGUUGAUCCCUUGGGAGGACCAAGAGACAACCUUGGAGUGAACCUCUUAAGAGAGGCCAUUAGGUUUCUUGACUCUCUGCAAUAACCUUUUUAUUGUUAUUUGUAUUAUUUGUAAAGUAGCUCUCUCCCCAUUUCUAUCACUCA
RNAcentral lists this long non-coding RNA (1489 nucleotides) under Carassius auratus (goldfish). RNAcentral describes it as "lncRNA (ENSCARG00000047136.1)". The record is from RNAcentral. Lineage: Eukaryota; Metazoa; Chordata; Actinopteri; Cypriniformes; Cyprinidae.